Molecule: ribosomal RNA, 352 nt
Filed under: uncultured Coriobacteriales bacterium
Lineage: Bacteria; Bacillati; Actinomycetota; Coriobacteriia; Coriobacteriales
Description: bacterial SSU rRNA
Rfam family: Bacterial small subunit ribosomal RNA
Source: RNAcentral
AGUAGUUUGAUCCGUGGCUCAGGACGAACGCUGGCGGCGUGCUUAACACAUGCAAGUCGAGCGGAGAUGCAUUUCGGAGAGCUUCGGCAGGAAGAGAUACAUCUUAGCGGCGGACGGGUGAGUAACGCGUGAGCAACCUGUCCUUCACAGGGGGAUAAGAUACCGAAAGGUGUUCUAAUACCGCAUGAGACCACAAGGCCACAUGGCGAAGGGGUCAAAGGAGCAAUCCGGUGAAGGGUGGGCUCGCGUCCGAUUAGAUAGUUGGUGAGGUAACGGCCCACCAAGUCGACGAUCGGUAGCCGACCUGAGAGGGUGAUCGGCCACAUUGGGACUGAGACACGGCCCAGACUCC